This 1262-nucleotide ribosomal RNA is filed under the name metagenome. RNAcentral's name for it is "bacterial SSU rRNA". It matches the Rfam family "Bacterial small subunit ribosomal RNA", at positions 243 to 1520 of the family's 1533-position model. The record is from RNAcentral.
AGGUAGUUGGUAGGUUAAUGGCCUACCAAGCCAAUGAUCUGUAGCUGAUUUGAGAGAAUGAUCAGCCACACUGGAACUUAGACACGGUCCAGACUCCUACGGGAGGCAGCAGUGAGGAAUAUUGGACAAUGGGCGCAAGCCUGAUCCAGCAAUGCCGCGUGAAUGAUGAAGGCCUUCGGGUUGUAAAGUUCUUUUAGUAGGGAAGAAAAUGACUGUACCUACAGAAAAAGCUCCGGCUAACUCUGUGCCAGCAGCCGCGGUAAUACAGAGGGAGCUAGUGUUUUUCGGAUUUACUGGGCGUAAAGAGCGCGUAGGUGGUUGUAUAAGUUGAAAGUGAAAUCCUAGAGCUCAACUCUAGAACUGCUUUUAAUACUGUAUAACUCGAGUCAAGUAGGGGACAAUGGAAUUCUUGGUGUAGGAGUGAAAUCCUUAGAUAUCAGGAGGAACACCGGUGGCGAAGGCGAUUGUCUGGACUUUGACUGACAUUGUGGCGCGAAAGCGUGGGUAGCAAACAGGAUUAGAUACCCUGGUAGUCCACGCCCUAAACUAUGAGUGCUAGAUAUUGGAGCAUUAGUUUUCAGUAUCGCAGCUAACGCAUUAAGCACUCCGCCUGGGGAGUAAGGUCGCAAGAUUAAAACUCAAAGGAAUUGACGGGGACCCGCACAAGCAGUGGAGCAUGCGGUUUAAUUCGAUUUCACACGAAAAACCUUACCAAUCUUUGACAUAGUGGUCGUAUGCCUCGGGAACGAGGCAGUCGGUUCGGCCGGACCAUAUACAGGUGUUGCAUGGCUGUCGUCAGUUCGUGUCGUGAGAUGUUGGGUUAAGUCCCAUAACGAGCGCAACCCUUGUCCUUAGUUGCCAUCAGGUAAUGCUGGGAACUCUAGGGAAACUGCCAGCGAUAAGCUGGAGGAAGGUGGGGACGAUGUCAAGUCAUCAUGGCCCUUAUAGAUUGGGCUACACGCGUGCUACAAUGGUGGUUACAAUAGGUCGUGAAAGCGCGAGCUCGAACUAAUCCUCAAAAACCAUCUCAGUUCGGAUUGUACUCUGCAACUCGAGUACAUGAAGUUGGAAUUGCUAGUAAUCGCAGAUCAGCAUGCUGCGGUGAAUACGUUCACGGGUCUUGUACACACUGCCCGUCAAGGCAUGGGAGUUGAUUUAGCUCAAAGUACGGUAGCUAACCAGCAAUGGAGGCGCCGUCCUACAGCAAAGUCAAUGACUGGGCUUAAGUCGGAACAAGGUAGCCGUAGGAGAACCUGCGGCUG